AGCUCCAAUAGCCAAUAGCGUAUAUUAAAAUUGUUGCGGUUAAAAAGCUCGUAGUUGGAAUUCUGCCGAGGACGAGGUGUCUAAAGCUGAGGUAAUGAUUAAUAGGGAUAGUUGGGGGCAUUUGUAUUUUAUUGUCAGAGGUGCAAUUCUUGGAUUUGUUAAAGACGGACUACUGCGAACGCAUUUGCCAAGGAUGUUUUCA
RNAcentral lists this ribosomal RNA (202 nucleotides) under uncultured eukaryote. RNAcentral describes it as "partial small subunit ribosomal RNA". The stretch from base 76 to 202 matches the Rfam family "Eukaryotic small subunit ribosomal RNA", at positions 846 to 972 of the family's 1831-position model. The record is from RNAcentral.